AUACGUAGGUGGCAAGCGUUGUCCGGAAUUACUGGGCGUAAAGGGUGCGUAGGCGGAUAUUUAAGUGGGAUGUGAAAUACCUGAGCUCAACUCGGGUGCUGCAUUCCAAACUGGAUAUCUAGAGUGCAGGAGAGGAGAAUGGAAUUCCUAGUGUAGCGGUGAAAUGCGUAGAGAUUAGGAAGAACACCAGUGGCGAAGGCGAUUCUCUGGACUGUAACUGACGCUGAGGCACGAAAGCGUGGGUAGC
This 247-nucleotide ribosomal RNA is filed under the name uncultured bacterium. Its description in RNAcentral is "partial 16S ribosomal RNA". It matches the Rfam family "Bacterial small subunit ribosomal RNA", at positions 523 to 769 of the family's 1533-position model. The record is from RNAcentral.